Armillaria mellea is the source of this 101-nucleotide non-coding RNA. The record is from the annotation of a GenBank genome assembly. NCBI's taxonomy places the organism in Eukaryota, Fungi, Basidiomycota, Agaricomycetes, Agaricales, Physalacriaceae.
UCUUUGGUAGUAUAUUGGUUAGUACACGCGCCUGUCAUUUGGACUAAGCUAUUUUGGUUGAGCUAACGCACGAAAGCUGGGUUCGACUCCCAGCCAGAGAG